GGCGGCGCGCAGCUCCUCGCCCAGCUGGUGCACGGCGGAGCCCGGGCCGGCCAGCUGCAGCAUGAAGAGCCCCGUGUCCGGGUCGCGCACGCAGCGGCGCAGCAGCUGCAUGUAGGUGAGGUUCUCGUGCGUGUUGGGGUCGAAGAAGCCCUUGGUGUCGUCGCUGGGGUCCUCCAGCACGCGGCUCAUCUCCUCGUCGAAGUAGCCGCGCUGGUAGGCCACGUCCACGGGCACGCGGUGGCUGCGCACGGGGUCGAUGACGCCGCCCGUGGCGAUCUGGGCCUCCAGCAGGCGGAUGCCGUGCUCGCGGACGAUGAGGUCCUUCUUCAUGGCCUGGAAGAGGGAGAUCUGCUCCCCGGUGUAGGGGUCCGUGUAGCCGGUGACGGCGCGCUCGGCCGACAGCAGCUUCUCCCGCAGCUCGCCGCCCACCACGCCCGCGGCCACCGCCUCCUCCACGGACAGCUUCUGGUUGCGCACGGGGUCGAUGACGCCGCCCGUGGCGAUCUGGGCCUCCAGCAGGCGGAUGCCGUGCUCGCGGACGAUGAGGUCCUUCUUCAUGGCCUGGAAGAGGGAGAUCUGCUCCCCGGUGUAGGGGUCCGUGUAGCCGGUGACGGCGCGCUCGGCCGACAGCAGCUUCUGGUAGGUUUCUCUGCCAAACAUCCCCGCCUCAAACGCCUCCUGCACAGUCAGCUUCCGGUUCUCCACGGGGUCGAUGAGGAAGCCGGUGGCCGCCUGCGCCUCCAGCAGCACCAGGGCCGUGCCGGGCCGCAGGAUGUGCCUCCUCAGCGCCUCUGAGAUGCUCAUCUUCUCCUUCGUGCUCUGGACAAGGACCCCGGCGAUGAAAUUGCCUCCUUCCAAGAAGCGCCUCACCCCGUCCAUGGCUGUCACCUCCCGCACCGACUUCUUCCCCUGAUUCAGCUCAUCCAGCGUCUUCUUGUCGAUCAGCUGGGACCGGAACAGGUCGCUGGCGGACACCUGUUUCCGGAGCCCUCUGAAAGUGGCCUUCGAAGGCUGUGCCUCUGAGGCCUCAACCAGGGAGGUGACCUCACGGACCACCUGCCGCAGGGCUGUGGCCCUUCCAGACUGGCAGAGCACCGCCAGCUCCUGUCGCCUCUGGGCCCCGACGUACUCGGAGUGCAGCAGGUCCCACAGCGACACGCUGAGCCCUCUGAACCUCCCCGCGCCUACGGGCACCUUCAUGGCCCUCAGGGCCACCGCCGUGUGCUCGUCCACCGCUAGGGCCACGUCCUGAGGGACUGGCAGCAGCCACAGGCCAGUGUCGGCGUCCAGGACACAGCGCUCCUUGAGCUGCUCGUAUGUCAC
RNAcentral lists this long non-coding RNA (1323 nucleotides) under Sus scrofa (pig). RNAcentral describes it as "lncRNA (ENSSSCG00050066068.1)". Lineage: Eukaryota; Metazoa; Chordata; Mammalia; Artiodactyla; Suidae. The record is from RNAcentral.